GAUGAACGCUGGCGGCGUGCUUAACACAUGCAAGUCGAACGAUGAAGCCCAGCUUGCUGGGUGGAUUAGUGGCGAACGGGUGAGUAACACGUGAGUAACCUGCCCUUGACUCUGGGAUAAGCCUGGGAAACUGGGUCUAAUACUGGAUAUGACUUCUCAUCGCAUGGUGGGGGGUGGAAAGAUUUAUUGGUCUUGGAUGGACUCGCGGCCUAUCAGCUUGUUAGUGAGGUAAUGGUUCACCAAGGCGAAGACUGGUAGCCGGCCUGAGAGGGUGAACAGCCACACUAGUACUAAGACACGGACCAGACUCCUACAGUAGACAACAGUGGAAAAUAUUACACAAUGAGCGCAAGCCUGAUACAAAGAUGCCGCGUUAGUAAUGACGUCCUUCGUGUUAUAAACCUCUUUCAGUAAAUAAGAAGCUAUAUUGACGGUACCUACAGAAGAAGCACCGGCUAACUACGUG
Molecule: ribosomal RNA, 466 nt
Filed under: uncultured bacterium
Lineage: Bacteria
Description: partial 16S ribosomal RNA
Rfam family: Bacterial small subunit ribosomal RNA
Source: RNAcentral